This 686-nucleotide transfer RNA is filed under the name uncultured cyanobacterium. RNAcentral's name for it is "partial contains 16S-23S ribosomal RNA intergenic spacer and 23S ribosomal RNA". The stretch from base 98 to 170 matches the Rfam family "tRNA". The record is from RNAcentral. Lineage: Bacteria; Bacillati; Cyanobacteriota.
GGGAUGAGACUCCUGGGCCAUUAGCUCAGGUGGUUAGAGCGCACCCCUGAUAAGGGUGAGGUCCCUGGUUCAAGUCCAGGAUGGCCCAUUCGGUGUUGGGGGUUUAGCUCAGUUGGUAGAGCGCCUGCUUUGCAGGCAGGAUGUCAGGAGUUCGAGUCUCCUAACCUCCACUGACCGAACUCAAUCUCCGGUUUUGCAUUGAAAGAUGGAGAGCCACUCGAUUGUGAAGUGUGAUUUAGAUGUGUCCGCUGGAUGACCCCAGCUUCCUGUCAUUCCAAAUCGAAGUAAAGGAUUUUACUUGAACGAAUUUGGUUGAUAAGAUGCUGGGCUCGAUUUCAAUGAUCAAGAAAUUGAUCAUUGGAUUUGCAGUCUGGCAGAACCUUGACAACUGCAUAGGUAAGUCUGGAAAAAACAAAGCAUCUUACAGAUGCAUUGUUUUGAAUCUGAUCUUCUGAAAGGGAGAUUGGAUCUAGAACAAUGAAAAUUCUUUUGAGCAAGAGCCGAGACUCUUGAGCGUUCUUUGAUUCGUGUCGAGCGAAUCAGAGUUUGAUCUUGUUUUAGGAAUCAGCGAAAGUUGACGAUUAAAACUGGAGAAUCUGCUUUCAACGGCGGUAAGCGUUCAGGAGAUUAAUUGGUCAAGCUACAAAGGGCUCACGGUGGAUACCUUGGCACACAGAGGCGAUGAA